This 864-nucleotide ribosomal RNA is filed under the name uncultured bacterium. RNAcentral's name for it is "bacterial SSU rRNA". It matches the Rfam family "Bacterial small subunit ribosomal RNA", at positions 627 to 1504 of the family's 1533-position model. The record is from RNAcentral.
CCAUAAACUUUCAGCUAGAGUAUGAUAGAGAAAGCAGAAUUCUAGUGUAGAGGUGAAAUUCGUAGAUAUUAGAAAGAAUACCAAUUGCGAAGGCAGCUUUCUGGAUCAUUACUGACACUGAGGAACGAAAGCAUGGGUAGCGAAGAGGAUUAGAUACCCUCGUAGUCCAUGCCGUAAACGAUGUGUGUUAGACGUUGGAAAUUUAUUUUCAGUGUCGCAGCGAAAGCGAUAAACACACCGCCUGGGGAGUACGACCGCAAGGUUAAAACUCAAAUGAAUUGACGGGGACCCGCACAAGUAGUGGAGCAUGUGGUUUAAUUCGAAGAUACGCGCAGAACCUUACCAACACUUGACAUGUUCGUCGCGACUCUAAGAGAUUAGAGUUUUCGGUUCGGCCGGACGAAACACAGGUGCUGCAUGGCUGUCGUCAGCUCGUGUCGUGAGAUGUUGGGUUAAGUCCCGCAACGAGCGCAACCCUCACUUUUAGUUGCCAUCAUUAAGUUGGGCACUCUGAAAGAACUGCCAGUGAUAAGCUGGAGGAAGGUGGGGAUGACGUCAAGUCCUCAUGGCCCUUACGUGUUGGGCUACACACGUGCUACAAUGGUAUCUACAACAGGAAGCAAAACGGCGACGUUAAGCAAAUCCUUAAAAGAUACCUCAGUUCGGAUUGCACUCUGCAACUCGAGUGCAUGAAGCUGGAAUUACUAGUAAUCGUGGAUCAGCGUGCCACGGUGAAUGCGUUCCCGGGUCUUGUACACACCGCCCGUCACACCAUGGGAGUUGGUUCUACCUUAAGGCAAGGUUUUAAACCCUUGACCACGGUAUAGUCAGCGACUGGGGUAAAGUCGUAACAAGGUAACCGUA